Molecule: ribosomal RNA, 440 nt
Filed under: uncultured Eubacteriales bacterium
Lineage: Bacteria; Bacillati; Bacillota; Clostridia; Eubacteriales
Description: bacterial SSU rRNA
Rfam family: Bacterial small subunit ribosomal RNA
Source: RNAcentral
AUGUGGUUUAAUUCGAUGCAACGCGAAGAACUUACCUAGACUUGACAUCCCGGGAAUUCUUAGGAAACUAAGAAGUGCUUCGGGAGCCCGGUGACAGGUGCUGCAUGGCUGUCGUCAGCUCGUGUCGUGAGAUGUUGGGUUAAGUCCCGCAACGAGCGCAACCCUUGUCUUUAGUUGCCAUCAUUAAGUUGGGCACUCUAAAGAGACUGCCGAUGACAAAUCGGAGGAAGGUGGGGAUGACGUCAAAUCAUCAUGCCCUUUAUGUCCUGGGCUACACACGUGCUACAAUGGUCGGUACAACGAGAAGCAAGUCAGCGAUGGCAAGCAAAUCUCUAAAAGCCGAUCCCAGUUCGGAUUGCAGGCUGCAACUCGCCUGCAUGAAGUCGGAGUUGCUAGUAAUCGCGGAUCAGAAUGCCGCGGUGAAUGCGUUCCCGGGUCUU